UGCCGAUAGAAAUACCUGCUUUAUUGUCCCUGGCUGGGCGCGGUGACAUUCAGCGCUGGUGCUGGCAGGUCAGCGGGCAACGGAGCACAGGCUCGAGGCAAUGGGGGGGGCCCUGCUGCCAGGGGUCAGUGCUGCAGGCAGGGGCGGGAUCAGGGGCUCCGGGCAGGACCCGCUGUGGGUGCAGCAGGGGGAUUGGAGGGUGGCUGGUCGCCCUAGCUCAGUGGGGGGGGGCCUGCCACUCACACCCAAGGGGGCCAGAGAGGGGUUAGCACCAGAUAUGGGCCCCGCAGCUGGGCUGGGACUCCAGGCUCUGCCGGCAGUGGGCUCAAGGUUAGCGUCUGACCAGAGUGCAGGCUGCAGGGCUGGGGCUCUGAUGCCCCCCGCCCCCGGGACCUAUUACUGGCUACCUCACACCGGGUGGGGAGGGGGUCAGACAGCAGCUUCAGUGACAGCGGGAACGCAGAGCCCAGCGUCCCAGCAGGGGAGCAGGGCAGGGUGCUGGCUGGGGGGGGCACUGCCAGGUUUAACGGUGCAGAUGACGCCCAUGGUGACAGGGCUGGUCCUUGCCCCUGCUGUUGCAGCCCCAGGGCAGCUGAGGGCAGAGUCUUCGGGGCCGGGUGGGAUCCCAGGGUCUGUCUCCAGGUGCAGGGAGCUGGGGGUGUCUGUUGUCACCCUGAGCCGUCUCCCCGCUGCGCCGGGAGGGUUAGCAAGAGCUCGGAGGGGGUGCAGUCUGGUGUGUUUCAGGCGGGGUUUGCAUAUGUCCUGGGCCAGACCCAGUGGCACGACAGAUGGACACAGCAGAGCCCUGCCCGCAGGUCCCUCUGGCUCCCUGCCCUGCGAGCCGGAGACGGCCAGAGCCCUCAGCAGAGCACACACACACCUUGAGCUACACACACACAGACACACCCAUGAGGUACACAUGCAUGUACAUACAUACACCUCACACACACUCUGAGGUACACCCCCCAAGGUCCACACGCACACACACAGGUACACCCCCUCCCCC
RNAcentral lists this long non-coding RNA (1006 nucleotides) under Gopherus agassizii (Agassiz's desert tortoise). RNAcentral describes it as "lncRNA (ENSGAGG00000004386.1)". Lineage: Eukaryota; Metazoa; Chordata; Testudines; Testudinidae. The record is from RNAcentral.